This 271-nucleotide ribosomal RNA is filed under the name uncultured bacterium. RNAcentral describes it as "partial 16S ribosomal RNA". It matches the Rfam family "Bacterial small subunit ribosomal RNA", at positions 524 to 794 of the family's 1533-position model. The record is from RNAcentral.
UACGUAGGUGGCAAGCGUUGUCCGGAUUUAUUGGGUUUAAAGGGUGCGUAGGCGGUUCCAUAAGUCAGUGGUGAAAUACAAUAGCUUAACUAUUGAGGUGCCAUUGAUACUGCGGAACUUGAGUACAGACGAGGUAGGCGGAAUUGACGGUGUAGCGGUGAAAUGCUUAGAUAUCGUCAAGAACACCGAUAGCGAAGGCAGCUUACUAGACUGUAACUGGCGCUGAGGCACGAAAGUGUGGGGAUCAAACAGGAUUAGAUACCCCUGUAGU